RNAcentral lists this transfer RNA (93 nucleotides) under Lysinibacillus sp. 2017. RNAcentral describes it as "tRNA-Ser". It matches the Rfam family "tRNA". From Rfam's summary of the family: Transfer RNA (tRNA) molecules are approximately 80 nucleotides in length. Their secondary structure includes four short double-helical elements and three loops (D, anti-codon, and T loops). The record is from RNAcentral. RNAcentral also lists the same sequence under 2 other names. Lineage: Bacteria; Bacillati; Bacillota; Bacilli; Caryophanales; Bacillaceae.
GGAGGUAUACCCAAGUCUGGCUGAAGGGAUUAGUCUUGAAAACUAACAGGCGGGUUAAACCGCGCGGGGGUUCGAAUCCCUCUACCUCCUCCA